This is a non-coding RNA of Pelobates cultripes (western spadefoot toad), 174 nucleotides long. The record is from the annotation of a GenBank genome assembly. NCBI's taxonomy places the organism in Eukaryota, Metazoa, Chordata, Amphibia, Anura, Pelobatidae.
GUUAUGCUCAGGAGACUUCGCUGAACACAAAUAUUAGAGUUUCAAAACCGUAAAACAUAUCACAACAAUUAUAUUGUCAGUGUAAGUGCCAUUUUUACUGAUGAUAUUGUUGUAAUACAUUUUACUGUUUUGAAACACUAAUAUUUGUUUUCGGCGAAGUCUCCUGAGUAAAAC